This is a long non-coding RNA of Equus caballus (horse), 715 nucleotides long. RefSeq lists it as uncharacterized. The record is from RefSeq and is a predicted model, not a curated record. NCBI's taxonomy places the organism in Eukaryota, Metazoa, Chordata, Mammalia, Perissodactyla, Equidae.
AGCUGUCCUGCAGGAGAAGAGGAAAAGUAAAAAGCAAAAUGUCUGAAAAAGCAGCCUCCACAAGACUUGUGACUGCACCUCCAUAUCAAUUUAUUUGCUCACGUGCACACACACACACACACACGCGUGCUUGUGCGUGUUGCCUGGACACCCUCUCCCUGGGUGCCCCGGUGUCCUCUCCCUGCCUAUUGGCACCCUUGUGGCCAGGCCUGCUCCCAGAGCAGAAUCUGGAUCUAGAGGAGGGGGCAACCCCGUCCCUACUCUCCAAGGGCAGGACACACACACACACACACACACACACACACACACACACGAGCACUCGACACAGGCGAAGAAAACGCAUAAACAAAUGCAGAGUCAUCACCAGCUGCAGGAGCUUUACGCGGCCAUGCCAGGGGCGGACAGAACGAGCAGAGAACCGGAGGCGCUGAGUCCAAACAGCUGUGUGCUGUGCUCAGGAGCUAACGCCAAGGGGGUUGAGGACCCCAAAGGCCUCCUUGGCUGGGAGGAAUGUCAAGGCCUGGCCCCUCCUCCAUCACACUGGAGGAACACAGAGGACAGGGAUGGCUUCUCCCAGGGCGUGCAGGACUCUGUCCCCGAGCUGAGUACUGAAGACCGUUUGCUGCCUGGGAAAGAGGAGACAGCUGCUUCCAGCCACAGAGAGCCGGGGAAAGAUUCACCCUGAGCUAACAUCUGCUGCAAAUCCUCCUCUUUU